ACGUGCCAGCAGCCGCGGUAAGACGUAGGACGCAAGCGUUAUCCGGAUUUACUGGGCGUAAAGCGCCUGUAGGCGGUCAAGUAAGUCGGAUGUGAAAGCCCCGUGCUCAACGCGGGGAAGCCAUUCGAUACUGCGUGACUAGAGAACGGCAGAGGGAAACGGAAUUUCUGGCGUAGCGGUAAAAUGCGCAGAGAUCAGAAAGAACACCGAUGGCGAAGGCAGUUUCCUAGGCCGCAUCUGACGCUGAGAGGCGAAAGCUAGGGGAGCAAACAGGAUUAGAGACCCUGGUAGUCCUAGCUGUAAACGAUGGAUGCUAGGUGUGGGCCGGAAAGGUCCGUGCCGUAGUUAACGCGAUAAGCAUCCCGCCUGGGGAGCACGGCCGCAAGGCUAAAACUCAAACGAAUUGACGGGGACCCGCACAAGCAGCGGAGCGUGUGGUUUAAUUCGAUGCUACACGCAGAACCUUACCUGGGCUUGACAUGUAGGUGGUAGUGAAGUGAAAGCGGAGCGACCCUUCGGGGAGCCUACACAGGUGCUGCAUGGCUGUCGUCAGCUCGUGCCGUGAGGUGUCGGGUUAAGUCCCGUAACGAGCGCAACCCUUGUCCUUAGUUACAAGUGUCUAAGGAGACUGCCGGUGACAAACCGGAGGAAGGUGGGGAUGACGUCAAGUCAGCAUGGCCCUUAUGUCCAGGGCGACACACACGCUACAAUGGUCGGUACAAUGGGCAGCGCAGCCGCGAGGUGAAGCGAAUCCCAACAAAGCCGAUCCCAGUUCGGAUUGCAGGCUGCAACCCGCCUGCAGAAGCCGGAGUU
RNAcentral lists this ribosomal RNA (813 nucleotides) under uncultured organism. RNAcentral's name for it is "bacterial SSU rRNA". It matches the Rfam family "Bacterial small subunit ribosomal RNA", at positions 503 to 1333 of the family's 1533-position model. The record is from RNAcentral.